CCGGUAAACGGCGGCCGUAACUAUAACGGUCCUAAGGUAGCGAAAUUCCUUGUCGGGUAAGUUCCGACCUGCACGAAUGGCGUAAUGAUGGCCAGGCUGUCUCCACCCGAGACUCAGUGAAAUUGAACUCGCUGUGAAGAUGCAGUGUACCCGCGGCAAGACGGAAAGACCCCGUGAACCUUUACUAUAGCUUGACACUGAACAUUGAGCCUUGAUGUGUAGGAUAGGUGGGAGGCUUAGAAGUGUGGACGCCAGUCUGCAUGGAGCCGACCUUGAAAUACCACCCUUUAAUGUUUGAUGUUCUAACGUUGGCCCCUGAUCGGGGUUGCGGACAGUGUCUGGUGGGUAGUUUGACUGGGGCGGUCUCCUCCUAAAGAGUAACGGAGGAGCACGAAGGUUGGCUAAUCCUGGUCGGACAUCAGGAGGUUAGUGCAAUGGCAUAAGCCAGCUUGACUGCGAGCGUGACGGCGCGAGCAGGUGCGAAAGCAGGUCAUAGUGAUCCGGUGGUUCUGAAUGGAAGGGCCAUCGCUCAACGGAUAAAAGGUACUCCGGGGAUAACAGGCUGAUACCGCCCAAGAGUUCAUAUCGACGGCGGUGUUUGGCACCUCGAUGUCGGCUCAUCACAUCCUGGGGCUGAAGUAGGUCCCAAGGGUAUGGCUGUUCGCCAUUUAAAGUGGUACGCGAGCUGGGUUUAGAACGUCGUGAGACAGUUCGGUCCCUAUCUGCCGUGGGCGCUGGAGAACUGAGGGGGGCUGCUCCUAGUACGAGAGGACCGGAGUGGACGCAUCACUGGUGUUCGGGUUGUCAUGCCAAUG
RNAcentral lists this ribosomal RNA (815 nucleotides) under Escherichia coli. RNAcentral's name for it is "partial 23S ribosomal RNA". It matches the Rfam family "Bacterial large subunit ribosomal RNA", at positions 1920 to 2734 of the family's 2925-position model. The record is from RNAcentral. Lineage: Bacteria; Pseudomonadati; Pseudomonadota; Gammaproteobacteria; Enterobacterales; Enterobacteriaceae.